GUCGAACGGCAGCGGGGGAAAGCUUGCUUUCCUGCCGGCGAGUGGCGAACGGGUGAGUAAUACAUCGGAACGUGCCCUGUAGUGGGGGAUAACUAGUCGAAAGAUUAGCUAAUACCGCAUACGACCUGAGGGUGAAAGUGGGGGACCGUAAGGCCUCAUGCUAUAGGAGCGGCCGAUGUCUGAUUAGCUAGUUGGUGGGGUAAAGGCCUACCAAGGCGACGAUCAGUAGCUGGUCUGAGAGGACGAUCAGCCACACUGGGACUGAGACACGGCCCAGACUCCUACGGGAGGCAGCAGUGGGGAAUUUUGGACAAUGGGCGAAAGCCUGAUCCAGCAAUGCCGCGUGUGUGAAGAAGGCCUUCGGGUUGUAAAGCACUUUUGUCCGGAAAGAAAUGGCUCUGGUUAAUACCCGGAGUCGAUGACGGUACC
This 429-nucleotide ribosomal RNA is filed under the name Ralstonia sp. RNAcentral describes it as "bacterial SSU rRNA". It matches the Rfam family "Bacterial small subunit ribosomal RNA", at positions 61 to 479 of the family's 1533-position model. Lineage: Bacteria; Pseudomonadati; Pseudomonadota; Betaproteobacteria; Burkholderiales; Burkholderiaceae. The record is from RNAcentral.